Molecule: ribosomal RNA, 478 nt
Filed under: uncultured bacterium
Lineage: Bacteria
Description: partial 16S ribosomal RNA
Rfam family: Bacterial small subunit ribosomal RNA
Source: RNAcentral
GACGAACGCUGGCGGCGUGCUUAACACAUGCAAGUCGAACGGUAAGGCCCUUCGGGGUACACGAGUGGCGAACGGGUGAGUAACACGUGGGUGAUCUGCCCUGCGCUUCGGGAUAGGCCUGGGAAACUGGGUCUAAUACCGGAUAGGACCCUGGGAUGCAUGUCCUGGGGUGGAAAGCUUUUGCGGUGUGGGAUGGGCCCGCGGCCUAUCAGCUUGUUGGUGGGGUGAUGGCCUACCAAGGCGACGACGGGUAGCCGGCCUAAGAGGGUGACCGGCCACACUGGGACUGAGAUACGGCCCAGACUCCUACGGGAGGCAGCAGUGGGGAAUAUUGCACAAUGGGCGCAAGCCUGAUGCAGCGACGCCGCGUGAGGGAUGACGGCCUUCGGGUUGUAAACCUCUUUCAGCACCGACGAAGCGCAAGUGACGGUAGGUGCUGAAGAAGGACCGGCCAACUACGUGCCAGCCGCCGCUGUAA